UGGAAAGGGGCAGCUGUCAGCGUGCA
This 26-nucleotide non-coding RNA is filed under the name Homo sapiens (human). The record is from RNAcentral. Lineage: Eukaryota; Metazoa; Chordata; Mammalia; Primates; Hominidae.